This 9381-nucleotide long non-coding RNA is filed under the name Equus caballus (horse). RNAcentral's name for it is "lncRNA (ENSECAG00000050208.1)". Lineage: Eukaryota; Metazoa; Chordata; Mammalia; Perissodactyla; Equidae. The record is from RNAcentral.
CCAAUAUUUAUAUUUAUAUAUAAAUGGUACAAAAUUUAUGUUAAAUGUUAUUGACUAUUUUGUACAAUUAAUUCUGGAUAAAAUUAACUGAUUUCAUAUAAUUAGUAAUAUCAAUACUGUACAGAACUUGUACAUAGAGCAAAUAACUCAUAUAAACCUCUCAGCUCAGUGGUAGCUGUUACUAUGAGGACAGUAAUUGGGUGGCGCUCCUCACCAUUUCCCUGCUCUGUGUAUCAAGUUCCCACAGGGCUCUCUCCAGUGCCUUACUCCUCCUAAUAUAUACACUAUUCCUAAGUGACUUCAUCUAAACCCAUAGCUUCAACUACCACUUACACCAGGAUCAGCAAAUACUCAGCACACGUGCUACAAAUUCUCCCUUCAACCAAUCCCCGAGUUGGGCUCUCAACUUGCUAUUCUCUAGGCUGCCACUUCUUUUUUUUUUUUUAAAGAUUUAUCUUUUUCCUUUUUCUCCCCAAAGCCCCCCGGUACAUAGUUGUGUAUUUUUUUUUUCUAGUUGUGGGUCCUUCUGGUUGUGGCAUGUGGGAUGCCACCUCAGCAUGGCUUGAUGAGCAGUGCCAUGUCCACGCCCAGGAUUCAAACCGGUGAAACCUUGGGCUGCCAAAGCAGAGCAAGCAAACUUAACCACUCAGCCAUGGGGCCAGCCCCUAGGCUGCCACUUUUAACUGAUCAGUUGGAAUUUGAAAUGAAUUUUUUUUCCAUUCUGGAUAGAUACUGAUUGCCUAUUUUGAGUCCGCUAACACUUUCUCCUGGCUAAAUUUCACAAGUAAUUCCAACGGUCUGUCAUAAAAUUCCAUGAAAUCUGCUUAAAAUUAAAAAGGAAAUGGAAAAAGAAGUUGGCAAAAUAGAGACUGGAAGAAGGGAAAUAGUUUUAUAGUCUUAAAAGAGAUCAGUGGAGGCCUUGAAACUACUUUCCUAUUUGAAAGAGAAGCCCUGAGACAAGGCCAUUGAUGAAGGCAAGACAAGGAAUCCAAAAAUCUCAUGUGUUCUGGUACAAAUCCAUCAUAAGAGUGAGAGAUUUAUUGCAUGUUGUAUAAAAACCACUAGUGAACACGGAAUAUUUCUCCCUUAGACAAACUAAUAAGUUAAUAGUUCUUUAAGUUAAUGAUUCCAAGCAUUGGUGUAGCCUAUGUUGAAAUCAUUGAGGAGCACAAAGGAACUUUCAAUUGAUUUGAUACAGUUGACUCAUUUUACAGGAGGCAGCUGGGGUUCCUAAGUGGCAGAGAUAUCACUGAAUCGGUAUCUUCCCACUCCCAAAUCUGAACACCACUCUAAAGUAAAUUUCUGCCAUUUUUGUUUGUUAUUUACACAAUUACAUAUACAUACUGUAAAGCAGAAAUAUGUGCAAUACCAACAAUUUUACACAAACACAUAUAUACCCUUUUGCAAAAUCUAGCGUAAACAUUAGAAAAGGUUGGGUAACUGUCUCUACUACCACCCCCGGCCCCCACUGAACCAAACCAGUUCUAGAUUAAGACGUCCUAUCCUGUCUGUGGUAUGAAGAAUAAUGGGCCCUCGAAGAUGCUCACCUACUAAUUCCCAGAAUCAGUGAAUAUGUUAAAUUACAUGGUAAAGGGAAAUUAAAAUGGCUAAUCAAUUGACCUAGAAAUAGAGAUUAUCCUGGAUUAUGCAAGUGGGGCCCAAUGUGUUCUCAGGGUCCUUAAAAGUGAAAGAGGGAGGCUGUAGAGUCAGUGUCAGUGACUCUGUGAUGUAAUGUGAGAAUCAACGGGUCAUUGCUGGCUUUGAAGAUGCAAGAGGGCCAAGGAAAGUGGGCAUGAAAAUGGGUUCUUCCAUAAAGACUCCAGAAGGGAACUCAGCUCUGCUGACACAUGGUUUUUAACCCAGUGAGAUGCCUUUCAGAGCUAUAAGACUGUAAAAUAAUAGGUUUGUGUUGUCGUAAGCAACUCAGUUUGUGGUAAUUUGUUACAGCAGGAAUGGGAAAACUAAGAUAGUUUCCAUAGAUUCAUUUCACAUUUCCUGCAGCCAUCAAGAGUUGGAGCCUGGUUAUAAAGUAUCUAUCAAAGAGGAAUAAAUGAAUACUGGUACUAACACAAGGCAACUAAGUAAUCUGUUCCCUCAUAAAAUAAAAACUCCUCUCAGAAUUUAUUUCAAAGGAACAUUUAUUGACCCCAUAUUAAACGGGCAUGGUCAAGAGAUGCCCCUCUUCUGUCUGUAUACAAUUCCCUCCUCUGUUUAUCCUCAGCUGCGUACAUCCUAUAUCUCAUAGUCUUUUACAAUUAUUCAAUUUCCUAUAAUGAAAUGAUAGGCUUGUCCAGAAGCUCAGAAUCUUCUUAGAAAGUUGUGGUUAGCAGAGUGAUGGGCACAGCUAACGGAAAAUCUGCUUCAUUUUCUAAAUUUAAAACAAAAAAACAGGGGUUACAAAGAGAAACAAGAGAACCUAGUGCUCAGAAGAUCAGGCCCAUCUUUUUCCUACUUCCCGCUGUGACCGUCAGCAUGAGACUCAAUUUCUUUAAGGUCUAAUUUCCAUUCUCCCUUCCUCUCCUGGUGCCUUACAUGAGAUAUUUACACACUGUCUGGGUAUCCAUUUUACUUCACAAAGAGACCAUGUUAGUGGCUUCCAAAAAAGCCAAGAGUGAGGCCAAGUAUUAGAACUGGCACCUUCUGAUUCAGGGCCCCAAGGCUUUACCGUUUUUAACUGAAUUACAUGUUCUUUGCAUCAGAAAACCUGAUGCCUUUUCUUCAGGUUCUCCCUUAAAAAGAUUCCGUGGCCUGGACUGGAAUCCACAUCUCAGAGAAAAACAGGAAGAAAAGGAAUCUUGGGAAACUCAAGGAAGAGGACUUAUUUACCCUAUGCCUAUUUGGUUACUGAAAAUCCAGACAGACUUGGAAGAUAAACCUCAGAGAGAAGAGAGGUUGUCUUUAACCUCCACCUUAGAUUUUAUAGCUGAUCUCAGCAUCUGGGAAAGCUGUUUAGAAUUCUUUCCCAGUGGAUUAAAACCAGCACUUAAGUGACCAGCCCCAUGGCAUAGUGGUUAAGUUCAGCGUGCCCUGCUUCAGCGACUCAGGUUCACAGUUCCAGAUCCUAGGUACAGACCUACAACACAUGUCAACCAUGCUGUGGCAGUGACCCACAUGCAACAUAGAGGAAGACUGGCAUGAAUGUUAGCUCAGGGCCAAUCUUUCUCCAGCAAAAAAAGAGGGAGAUUGGCAACAGAUGUCAGCUCAGGGCAAAUCUUCCUCAGAAAAAAAAAAAAAACAGCACUGGGAAAAUGAUAUCAAAUCUCUAAUAAGAUAUCAGGGGCAAGACAGAAGAAACUUACAAAAAAGCACUGAGACGGACUCGUCGUUUCCAAAUGAGGUGAUGGGCUCAUCUGCAAUUAAGUAAAGAAAUGGUUUUUAUUCACUUCCAGUAAUGUGUGUCUAGCAUUCACUGUGUGCAUUCAGCCAAUAACCUCAAGUAGCCCUGGUUAACAUAGGACUCCACUGAGUCUGUGGCACUGAAACUUUCCUUCUCCUAACUACCAUGGCACUCUGUCACGCCUGAAAUCUUCCCGGUGGAAAUGGAAUGCAAAUGGACUCCAUGAGAAGGAUUUGGGUGAAGGGCUGGUCUACGCUCAUACUUGGAAGCCCUGAGAGUAGCAUGUGAACCGGUUAUAUCCUCAUGUGUAAGAGCCAUAUUCUCUCUUCUCGCCCAAAAGUAAAUUCAGCUCAGUGAGUGUGGCUCCUGGCUGAGAAGGGUGUAAACACGGGCAGAGUACCUACCAGAGAGCCUCUUCUUGAGUCUGUUCUGGAAAGCUUCCCCAAACAUAUUCCCUAAAGACCAUAAUAGGCAGAAAAGUCAAAGAUCUUUGGACUUACCUGAUGCUACAAGGAUGGGCUCAUCGAAAUAAGCAGCAGUGACAACUUCUAGAAAUAAAGCAGUAAGUUUCUUAAUUUAAAAGGUUAAAACCUCCAUGGAUUUUUCUCUUCCUAUUAAAAACCAAAGUUUCUCAAUAUAUACAUAUUUCAAAUCAUUGUGUUGCACACCUUAAAAUUAUACAAUGUUAUAUGUCAAUUAUACCUCAAUAAAACUGGAAAAAACAAAAAUAAAAUAAAUGCAUUACAGGAAAAAAAACAAUAACAAAGUUUCUUGGUUUGUUGGUAAUCGCCGCAGUCAGAAAGCCUCUCUUGAUAAGCAGGCCAUGGGGUCUAGAUAUUAGCAGAAAUGAUCAGAGGGAUCUGGGCCAUGAGGCUGCUUCUUGCUCUUGGAGUCAAACAUGAGAGUUUUCCUACUGCUCCAUGGGAUAGGGGUGGGGGUGGGUGGGAUGGAGGACAUCAUUCAUUUACGUUAACUUAUUAAUCAACCACUACAGAUUGGCUAGUUAGAAAACAAUCCUGAGGUAGAGUUUUUCAUUUUGCAAAUGAGGUAUAUUCUUUGAGGAAGACAGUUAGUGGAACAGCAAGAAUUUAAAGCCAGAGAACCAACCCUUUUUAAUGGGCCCUCCAGCCUCCACUAAAACACAAUUUCUAGAUUCCUCCACUACUGCCUGCAAUCUCCCAAUACACUUAGAGCAGUGCUGGAAUACAGUAGAUCUCAAUAUGUACUAGCUAUUAUUUGUAGACAUAAGAAUCAAAUUGUUUAGAAAUUUGCUUUUGUAGGUAAGGUCCAAGGCUCUUUCACAUCAAAAGUCCCAGGCACACCUCAAACUGUUGGGGUUUGCUUGUAGGAGUGGAAGACAUUGAAUCUUAUGACCCCUUGGCUAAGUGGUGGACAGAAAAAUGAAAACUGAUGGAGGCUUGAGAGAGAGAGGAGCAGAGAUAGAAACACUGCUUAACUCAUGAAGCUUCUAAGUCUCUUUUUCUUCUGUUCAGUCUAAAUUCACAUAAGAUUUACACUUACCAUAAUCUUUGUUGGCAAAGCUCUCUGGCUGAACUGAAUUGUAGUCAACUGGAAAAGAAAAGGAAAUUGUUAACGUUUUUCUUGCCACCACAUCCAUCAACCCCUUGGAGAUACCAAGGAUCUCGUCCUCUUUAGAGAAGCCCAGAAGGCUGGUCCUGGAGAUCAGUCAGGGCAGAUCUCUGGGCUGGAGCUAUGCUGGUAUUCAACUGGUUUCAUCUCCUGACAAUCUGGGAAAAUGCUUCCAUUUUCCUCAAGUUUCAAAGCUCUUUUGGCCAAGUUUACUCCACCUCAGAGAACAAAGCACCAAAAGUAUCCCCAAAUGUGUAAGUUAUCAUAGGACAUUCCUCUGCAAGGAGCUAUAAACAGGGUAAGGGAGGCAGGGAGGAAUCUUGAAGACAGGGAUUCUUACCUGUGGCCUCAGUGGCUUCUUUCUCAAAGCUGAGGGUGCUUGAUUCCACAGCAGUAGACAAUUCUAGGAAAACAAAAUGGAAGACAGGUGUGGUUACAAGCUUAUGAAAGGAAUCAAGUACACUGGAGGAAAGCAGACUUUCCCUCAGAAAUGCAAAAGAUGGGAGCCCACCAACUCCUGCCCAGGCCCCCUCUGAAGCCAGAAACCUCACUUACCAAAAGCCUGUGUGUUCUUCAAAUACGCUUCAGUAGUCAAUUCUCCACCACGAAAGAACUCUACGUCAGUGGCCGACUCUAGGUCAGCGGUUAAAUCUAGUUCCUCACUUGGCUCUAGGUUAAUGACCAGCUCUCCACCAGUGAGCGGCUCUAUGACAACAGCCGGCUCUUCAGGCUCCAGGACAACCACUGGCUCUGGGUCGGCAGAUAGCACCGGGUCAUUGAUAAUGUGUAUGAAUUCUAAAGGAGACAAAAAAGAACAAGACAGCCCAAGCGCUUUCUACCAAGAAUAUUUCCGUGAUCUCCACAUCCUUCCCAUUCCCAGGGGAAAACAUGGAACAUAAAAGAGUAUAUUGAAUCAAAUGUGGUCUCACCACAAGUCUCUCUUCUGCCAGCUGCUAGAAAAUCCAGAAGACUAACUGCCACCCAGGAAUAUGCUCAGUGUCCUCUACACUACCCUCCUUUGAGGGGGUCAGUUUAGGAAAGAGCAUUUGAUAUUGUGCCUCUAAAUAAGAAUUGGUCAGACCGGAACAGAAUAAAAAUUCCAGAGUCCCCAUCUAUACUCUUUCCAGUUCCUGAAAACCAAACAAAAACAAAAGGGAGUGUGGAGCAAGGAAAACAAGUAUUUCCAAAGUGCGUGAGCAAGAAUGGAAUCAACUCUAAAAUGGGCUACUCCUACGAUUUUGUCAUUUAAUGGGCUAUGUCAAGGACUUCAUUUUCCAGCCUCUCCUGUAGAAUGCACAAUGCAGAUGUUUUGGGGCUUGCUAACCACAAAAGCAUCAAAACUGUGUAAGCCUGAUCGACGUACAACUAGGGUCUUCUUGGACGAUAGUGAAAGAUAUGUAGUCACUAUGGCUGCUUGGUUCAGCAGGUUAUGGGCACCCUGCCAGUGAGGCCAAAAUCAUUAGCUCCCUAACUCAGUCACUUUGCUUUAUCACUCAUUCAUAUGCAGUAAAGAACCCCAAACCUAGCACCCGAUAAACAGAGCUACCAGAGGGAAAGCUGGGGGCAGAAAAAUGGGGGGAAGUAACCAUUUUAAUGCAAAUGAAUGAAAAACCUUCCUCCUGAGAAAUGAACUGAAUUCAGGAAGGACUAGAAAAGGCAAGCCUUCCCGGGAAAUCUUCCUUUCUCUGGUUCAUGAGGACAUCUAUUUCUUUCCUGUCUCAAUGUGACUCACAAGUUUCCAUUGCAGACCCACUGAUUUCCUGCGUGUGACUGAGUUAGCCACUAAAGCACUUGGAGUUUUACUAUAAAAUGAGGGCAUACCCUAGGACUUUUUAACCUGAAUUAAAUAGAAUAAAGCCUCUUUAGCCUUCAAUAGGGAAUAGAACCACGGAAAACCGUCAGUAAUUCUCUAAUCACCCACCUUAAGCCCAUCUGGCCCAGCCUUCUUACCUUUAUGAGGUCAAUUCAAACACACAACCCACUUCUUAGCUUAGCCACUUAACUACCCAAGGCCUCAGAGCUCAGCCGCCCAUCCCACCUCCAGCCCAAGUUGAUAUAAAUUUUACCCAUUUCAUUUUAUGAUGUUCACUGCAGGUCUCUGUCUCUGUCUGCCUCUUUCUCCGUACUCAUACACACGGCAGACACCGUGAAAGGAUUUUAGCCCUCUUCUCUAAAGACGUCCAAACAGUCCACUUACCCUGGAAUGCGAUGGGGUAAGUCACAGCCAGACCGAACCAAGCAGAGAGGACCAGGGCCGUCCUGAGCAUGGUGCCAGUGGGGAGUGCAGGAGGCUCUCGAAGGUGUGGAGGCAGGUGGCAGGUCUUAGGGGUGCUGGGCCCAGAGCUUCGCUGGGCUUUUAUGUAACCCUCAGCCCUAGGUCCCUGAAGGCGGCAUUCCCAGGUGGUGGUGAAAAAAAAAAAAAAAAUGCAAGCCUCGCCCACACACAAUGUGAAUGCCCCUGGAGCGAAGAAAAGGAAACGGUGGGGGAGGGAGAAGCAAGGAGGAGCUGGAGGAAAACUCUGAUAAGGUCCUUAACUGCGAAAUUAGGUCGCCUUGCCCCAUUACCAUUAGCAGUAAUUAUGUGCUUCUCAGAGAGGCAGGGGAGAAAUUCCAGUAGGUCGCGGACGACUCCCCUCCUGGCCUAAAGUUGCAAGUUUGUCAUCUAGUUUGAAGCUUUACUGAGCCCCUGAAAUGCUGCUUUGUAUCAGAGUGGUGACUAAGAAUAUUGGUCACAGCUUGCUGGCUACUUUGAUUAUAAGGCAGUCCUAUUAUAAACAAUCUUCUAACACCAGCGGGUCUCUCAAAGAGAAAUUACUACUACAAUAAUAAUAAUAACAGAAAUAGCUAAAAUUUUAAGAUUUCACAUGUGCUACUAUUUUAUUUGAUUCUCACCUGGGUCAUAUGUGGGAGGUAUUAUAAUCCCUAUUUUUCUGGUGAGGAGCCUAGAAGCUGAGAGAUUAAAUGACUCCAGAUUCACCUGCAGAUAUUCACGCUCUAGAGCUGUCAUUAACAGCAAGUACUUGGCCGUGUGGACGUGGCUCCUGCUAGUGACCCUCCCAGGCCUCUAGGGGGCACUGUUAAGCUGCCAUGCAUCGGCUGAAGCACGGACUCUAACCCUCACGGUAGAUGCAAAAUAAGCUGAGACUGCUAGAGUCAGGGACUGACUCACCUAAACCAGUCUCAGCGCUCAAUUACGACCCUUAUCGGAAAGGAGCUGUUUAUCGCUUAACGCACAAGUCCCAUCACAGGCUCAAACUCCCACGAGGCCUUUAAGUCUCAGUUUUCUUUACUUAAAUGGUCACAGCUGAUUCCUGCGCCUCAGAAACCUCAGGGUUGGCAAUACCAUUGAGAGAAAUCUCUCAGUAAUAGUAAUAAUAAGAGCUAAUAUUUAUUAAGUGCUUAACUAUGUGCCAUAGGCAUACAUUAUUUUAUCCUAAUACCAAACCUAAGGUAAUCUUAUUAUUCUCCUUUUCUAAUGAAGAAACCAUGGCACAGGGAGGUUAGGGAAAGGUCACACAGUAAGUGUGAGAGAAUCAAGAAGCAAAUCUUUGGGCACUCUGACGCUAGGGCCUUCGACCACUCUACUAUGUGUGUGCUGUGUCGUCGUCGACCCUUUGUCCAUCGGACCCGUCAUGGUCUGUCCAUCCCCCACACCCCGCUCGGCCCAGUUAUCUCCCUGAUCUCUUCAUUGCUAGCUUUGUCCUGUGAAAUGUGGCACUACACAGGCUUCACCUUAAAGGCAGGGGGAAAACACACAUAUCCAUUAGAGAACGUUUUGUUUUUCUGGAAACUAAAUUUCCUUGGCAAGUCCUGUGCAAUGAAGCGUGACCCAAACACAAUGGUCAGAAGCUUGGGAAGCAAGAAGCUCAUGAAAAACUCUAGGCAAAUAACACCAACAAACAAUAGAAUUCAAAUGAGACAAUAACCCAGUAAAUCACCUGCCAGUGGAAGCAGGGGGAAUUGUGUUUGCAUCAGCCACAAUCUGAGAAUAUUUCCUACUUCAGCAAAGUGGCAGAAUCGACUUCCAACAGUGCAGAAUAGAAUCUCUGAAUUCUCUGAGGAGAGCUGGACUUAGGAGGCAAGGUAUUAAAGGGGCAGAAGUGACCAGCUUCUUCUAGAAGCUUUGUUUUGUAGCUAACCACUUAAAAUUAUAGGCACUGCUUCAGAUGUUCUUCCAAAGGUCAUGGCACCACUUUUAUAUGCCUCAGUUUCCCCCAGAGUCAGUGAACAAGUGGCUGUCUGGUGACUUCUAUAUUGAAAUAUAUGAGCAAUUUGAUUUCCCUUGAAGUCGUGUUACUCUUUCUCACCCCCUGAGUGUUGUGAGGUAAUCGGCACAGUGGGUCCCAGGGAGGGACCAGGCCUCUGCUAAGGUGAGAUCUAAUAGAAUUGUAAGGUUAUAAUUAUAGGGACUUUUUUAUUAAACAGGGUUAUAAUUCUGUUUCAUAUUAUUAAAA